This 1449-nucleotide ribosomal RNA is filed under the name Triticum aestivum (bread wheat). RNAcentral describes it as "partial small subunit ribosomal RNA". The record is from RNAcentral. Lineage: Eukaryota; Viridiplantae; Streptophyta; Magnoliopsida; Poales; Poaceae.
AUGAAGAACUUGAAAGACGCUAAAACCAAGAUUUUUCCCUCAACUACGAGGGGAGGUAAGGAACUGCCAUCUAGCUCUACACUAGAUUCUCCUUCCGUUAUUAGUAGGCUUGCGACACCUAAACCUACUACUGCUAUGAAUUCUGAUAUGUCGCAUGUUAUUGAUGAUGCCACUUCUUCUAUGCACGAUGAAACUACUUCUUUGCGUGAUACUACUGUGCCAUUAGGUGAAUUUCUUGAUGAACAACUUGCUAGAGUUAGGGGGAAUGAAAAUAUUGAAGAACCUAUUAUUGAUGAUAGUGAUGAUGAAGGUUCCCCCAAUGAUUAUGUAUUAUCUAUUGUUCCUAAGGGUUAUGUUAUGAAUGAAGCAGCUGCUAUGGAAAUUUUUGCUUGCAAUGAUAGAAAUGAUCUUAAUAAAUUAUUAGCUAAAUGGAAGCAGCAGUCUCUUAAUGCUAGAAUGAAACCCAAUCCUGCUUUUGCUACUUCACCUAUCUGUGUUACUGAUAAGGAUUAUGAAUUCUCUGUUGAUCCUGAUAUUAUUACUUUAGUUGAAUCUGAUCCUUUUUAUGGCCUUGAAUCUGAAACUGUUGUGGCACAUCUUACCAAGUGGAAUGAUAUAGCCACCCUCUUUACUAAUGAUGAGAAGUCUUGUUAUUUAUACAUCCUUAAGAUAUUUCCGUUCUCAUUAAAGGGUGAUGCUAAGACUUGGUAUAAUUCUCUUGCUCUUGGUUGUGUGUGUAGUCCCCAUGAUAUGAUUUAUUACUUCUCUGCUAAAUAUUUCCCUGCUCAUAAGAAACAAGCUGCCGUGCGGGAAAUAUAUAAUUUUGUGCAAAUCAAAGAAGAGAGUCUCCCACAGGCUUGGUGGAGGCUUCUCCGGUUACUUAAUGCUUUGCCUGAUGAUGCUCUUAAGAAAAAUGAAAUACUUGAUAUCUUUUAUAAUGGACUAACCGAUGCUUCCAAGGACUACUUGGAUAGUUGUGUUGGUUGUGUUUUCAGGGAAAGAACAGUCGACGAAGCUGAAAUACUAUUGAAUAAUAUGUUGACUAAUGAAAAUAAUUGGACUCUUCCCGAGCCAGUUCCUGAAGUAAUUCCUGAACCAAUUGAGCCAACUCCUGAGCCUAUUCCUAAACCCACUCCGAAGAAGAGAGGUGUUUUAUUUCUCAGUCCUGAAGAUAUGCAAGAGGCAAAGAAAUCAAUGAAAGAAAAAUGUAUUAAAGCUGAAGAUGUUAAGAAUUUACCUCCUAUUGAACAAAUACAUGGUCUUAAGAUACCACCUGUUGAAGAACCACAUUGUCUUGAUAACCCGACACAGGUAGUAAAGGUAAAUUCUCUCUAUAGAUAUGACAAAGUUGAAGUCCCCUCUACUAAAUUUCAUAGCCCAUGCUUAGAUGAAUUUGAUGACUUUAUGGCUAGACAAGAAAGUUUCAAGCUUAUGUUGGUAGAGAGUUAA